RNAcentral lists this ribosomal RNA (88 nucleotides) under Fukomys damarensis (Damara mole-rat). Lineage: Eukaryota; Metazoa; Chordata; Mammalia; Rodentia; Bathyergidae. The record is from RNAcentral.
GUCUACAGCCAUACCACCCUGAAUGUGCCUGAUCUUAUCUGAUCUCGGAAGCUAAAUACAGUAGGAAAAUAUGAAGGAGAUGUGGGGG